Molecule: ribosomal RNA, 253 nt
Filed under: uncultured Oscillospiraceae bacterium
Lineage: Bacteria; Bacillati; Bacillota; Clostridia; Eubacteriales; Oscillospiraceae
Description: partial 16S ribosomal RNA
Rfam family: Bacterial small subunit ribosomal RNA
Source: RNAcentral
UAUGUAGGGGGCAAGCGUUAUCCGGAUUUACUGGGUGUAAAGGGAGCGUAGACGGUGAUGCAAGUCAGAAGUGAAAGCCCGGGGCUCAACCCCGGGGCUGCAUUGGAAACUGGCAGGCUGGAGUGCCGGAGAGGCAGGCGGAAUUCCUAGUGUAGCGGUGAAAUGCGUAGAUAUUAGGAAGAACACCAGUGGCGAAGGCGGAUGACUGGACGACAACUGACGGUGAGGCGCGAAAGCGUGGGGAGCAAACAGG